CCUACGAGAUGCAGCAGUGGGGAAUAUUGGGCAAUGGGCGCAAGCCUGACCCAGCAACGCCGCGUGAAGGAAGAAGGCUUUCGGGUUGUAAACUUCUUUUCUCAGGGACGAAGAAAGUGACGGUACCUGAGGAAUAAGCCACGCCUAACUACGUGCCAGCAGCCGCGGUAAUACGUAGGUGGCAAGCGUUAUCCGGAUUUACUGGGUGUAAAGGGCGUGUAGGCGGGACUGCAAGUCAGAUGUGAAAACCACGGGCUCAACCUGUGGCCUGCAUUUGAAACUGUAGUUCUUGAGUACUGGAGAGGCAGACGGAAUUCCUAGUGUAGCGGUGAAAUGCGUAGAUAUUAGGAGGAACACCAGUGGCGAAGGCGGCUUACUGGACUGUAACUGACGCUGAGGCUCGAAAGCGUGGGGAGCAAACAGGAUUAGAUACCCCUGUAGUC
RNAcentral lists this ribosomal RNA (443 nucleotides) under uncultured bacterium. RNAcentral describes it as "partial 16S ribosomal RNA". It matches the Rfam family "Bacterial small subunit ribosomal RNA", at positions 338 to 795 of the family's 1533-position model. The record is from RNAcentral.